Molecule: ribosomal RNA, 135 nt
Filed under: Chlorocebus sabaeus (green monkey)
Lineage: Eukaryota; Metazoa; Chordata; Mammalia; Primates; Cercopithecidae
Source: RNAcentral
GUCUGUGGCCAUACUACCCGGAAUGCCCCAGAUCCUGUCUGAUCUCAGAAGUUAAGUAGGGUCGGGCCUGGUUAGUACUUGGAUGGGAAAGGAGAGAGUCUGUACACACCUGGGAAGGAAAGGUUAAUUCAGGUG